UUGUGAGCUGUCCCACAGAGAGACCACGUGACCAGAAAUAGGGGGUUGCCACGGACAACCGUGGCCAGGAAACUGAAGCCCUCAGUCCAACAACCUUGCAAGGAAUGACAUCCGGCCACCUGCCACAGGAUCUUUCCCCAGUCGAGCUUCAGAGACUCCAGCCCCGGGUGACGGUUUGCUUAUAGUCUUGUAAGAGACCCCAAAGUAAAGGGCACAGCUUCGCUGACCGACAGAAAGUGUGAGAUGAUAAAUAGCAAUAAAGAACUAGGGGGUUGGGAUUCAGAUUUCCUCAAACACCGGGAGCAUUCAGGGGGAUUCCCUUCACACACAGGAUUUCUACACAGCUCCUUGGAAGCAAAGCAGAGAAGCGAGAUAUUUACCCAGAUGUUCAUGGAGCCCUACUCCAGGCACUGUGUUCACUGCCGGAGAUACAAAGUAGACAAGAUGCACUUGUUUCUUGCACAGGACACGGCCUUGGCCUCGGGGAGUUUAGAAAUAAAAAAUGGCAGCAACAAUA
This is a long non-coding RNA of Hyaena hyaena (striped hyena), 517 nucleotides long. RefSeq lists it as uncharacterized. The transcript is spliced from 3 exons. NCBI's taxonomy places the organism in Eukaryota, Metazoa, Chordata, Mammalia, Carnivora, Hyaenidae. The record is from RefSeq and is a predicted model, not a curated record.